GACGAACGCUGGCGGCGUGCUUAACACAUGCAAGUCGAACGGAAAGGCCCUGCUUUUGUGGGGUGCUCGAGUGGCGAACGGGUGAGUAACACGUGAGUAACCUGCCCUUGACUUUGGGAUAACUUCAGGAAACUGGGGCUAAUACCGGAUAGGAGCUCCUGCUGCAUGGUGGGGGUUGGAAAGUUUCGGCGGUUGGGGAUGGACUCGCGGCUUAUCAGCUUGUUGGUGGGGUAGUGGCUUACCAAGGCUUUGACGGGUAGCCGGCCUGAGAGGGUGACCGGCCACAAUGGGACUGAGGAUCGGCCCAGAAUCCUACGGGAGGCAGCAGGGGGGAAUUUUGCCCCAUGGGCCGAAACCUUAAGCAACAACGGCGGGGUCGGGAAGACGGGCUUCGGGUUGUAAACCGCUUUCGCCUGUGACGAAGCGUGAGUGACGGUAAUGGGUAAAGAAGCACCGGCUAACUACGUG
RNAcentral lists this ribosomal RNA (468 nucleotides) under uncultured bacterium. RNAcentral's name for it is "partial 16S ribosomal RNA". It matches the Rfam family "Bacterial small subunit ribosomal RNA", at positions 28 to 507 of the family's 1533-position model. The record is from RNAcentral.